Molecule: long non-coding RNA, 203 nt
Filed under: Elaeis guineensis (African oil palm)
Lineage: Eukaryota; Viridiplantae; Streptophyta; Magnoliopsida; Arecales; Arecaceae
Description: long non-coding RNA (EGUI_LNC001098)
Source: RNAcentral
CAUUACAGGUAGACUUCAGCCGAGCUUCUUCGUAAUCGGAUCCCGCGACAACCGAUCUUCGACCAAACUUCUGCAAUAAGCGGUCUCCUUUCAGCCUUCUACAAGAAUCAAACUUCGACCGAACUUCCAUAGCGGUUGGACAUUGGAUGAGCUUCUACGACGAUCGGGCUCCAGCAGCUAGAUUCCUACAAUGAUCGAUCGCC